RNAcentral lists this non-coding RNA (48 nucleotides) under Trichobilharzia regenti. Lineage: Eukaryota; Metazoa; Platyhelminthes; Trematoda; Strigeidida; Schistosomatidae. The record is from RNAcentral.
AUCCAACUGACGAGUCUCAAACAGGACGAAGUGCGCAUUGUUCGGGAU